AAAAACAAGAGUUUGAUCCUAGCUCAGAACGAACACUAGUUAUAUGCUUAACAAAUGAAAAUCGAACGUGGCUUGCUUCGCCAUCCAUACAUGUGGGGGCAGAAGGGCAAGAGGAAUGACCCCCUCAUAGCGCAUUCUCACUCACUCAAAUGAUAUGCAAGUGGUGUGUCGGGCAUGGGGCAUAGCAAGAAAAGUGGCGAACGGGUGCAUAGCGCAUGGGAAUCUGUUGAACAGUUCACUCCAAAUCCUGAAUAAUUCAUAAAGAAAGCUAAUUUGCAUUGUUUGAUGAGCCCGCGUAGUAUCAGGUAGUUUGUUAGGUAAAGGAUGACCAAUCCAAUGAUGCUUAGUUUGUCUUUUCAGAUGAUCAGCCACACUGGGACUGAGACAUGACCCAGACUCCCUUAGGAGGAAGUAAUGGGGAAUAUUGGACAAUGGGCUCAUGCCCGAUCCAACAAUAUCACAUUGGUGAAAAAGGGCAUUGUUGCUUGUCAAGAUAUUUCGUCGAGUUUUGAUCAUGAUAGGACUCAAGGAAGAAGCCUCAGCUAACUCCAUGCUAGCAGUCACGAUAAGAUAGUGGGGUAAGUGUUAUUCGAAGUGACUGGACAUAAAGUGCACGUAGGAGGUGAAAAGGGUGGAAAGUGAAAGCCACCAAAGCACUCACGGGGUGCUUUCUUUACCAUUUCACUUGAGUGAGAUAGGGGUGACUAGAAUUUCAUGUGGAGGGAUAAAAUCCUAAGAUAUAUGAAGGAACAACAACUGCGAAGGCAUCUCUUUGGGUCCCCAUUGACGCUGGGGUGCAAAAUCAUAGGGAUCAAACAUGAUCAGAUAACCUGGUAGUCUAUGUCAUAAGCGAUGAGUGUUCAUCCUUGGUCCGCCUACCUACUAGGUAGGAUUAGGAUCAGGGGCCCAUCUAACGCAUGAAACACUUCGCCUAGGGAGUACGGUCGCAAGACUGAAACUAAAAAGAAUUCACGGGGGCCUGCACAAGCGAUGGAGCAUGUGGUUUAAUUUGAUACAACGUGCAGAACCUUACCAGCCCUUGACAAAUGAACAAGUGUGCCUAUCCCUAAUGGGAUGGUGUGAAAAUUCAUACAUGUGUUGCAUGGCUAUCAUCAUCUUGUGUCGUGAGAUGUUUGGUUAAGUCCUAUAAUGAGAAAAACCCUCAUUUUUUGUUUCUGAGACAUGCGCCAAUGGAUCAAUGUCAUUGCCCCUUCCCAAUGAAUCAAUAGGGUGAGGCAAGCACCUCUUUUUAAUUGAUGACACUUCUAUGAAAGAAGGUGUGUUAAGUACCUAAAUCAGAUCUGCAAAUAUACUUCAAUAAUACCAAAAAUAAACCAUAAACCAUUCACCAUAACAUUAACGCAAGAAAUAGAGAAAACCCUUGAGGUAGGGUAACACCAUAUAUUAAUCCUUAUGGAAGGAUAAAACUCCUCAAGCAAUCCUUUCUUGUACAAUCACAAUAUUCUUCACUAUGUUUCAUUACAUUGCCUACACUUCUUUAUAUAGCUCUCCCUAUCUCCUAGGAACCUUCUAGAGAGCCUUCUCACAUUUAUUACAUCCAACUACCAUAGUGGGAUUUUAUUAAUAUAGUGGACUUAGUCCACCUUACAUUGAAUGACCACAUUCUCAUAUAUUAAUUGACUUCCACUAAUAACACAUAACUACAUUCCCAUUGGGUACCUCCCUAGGUACCCCAUAUUACCU
Non-coding RNA from Picea glauca (white spruce), 1704 nucleotides. Lineage: Eukaryota; Viridiplantae; Streptophyta; Pinopsida; Pinales; Pinaceae. The record is from Rfam.